UACAGAGGGUGCAAGCGUUAAUCGGAAUUACUGGGCGUAAAGCGUGCGUAGACGGUUAUGUAAGUCAGGUGUGAAAGCCCAGGGCUCAACCUUGGAAUUGCAUUUGAGACUGCAUAGCUAGGGUGCGGAAGAGGGAAGCGGAAUUUCCGGUGUAGCGGUGAAAUGCGUAGAUAUCGGAAGGAACACCAGUGGCGAAAGCGGCUUCCUGGUCCAGCACCGACGUUCAGGCACGAAAGCGUGGGGAGCAAACAGG
Molecule: ribosomal RNA, 253 nt
Filed under: uncultured bacterium
Lineage: Bacteria
Description: partial 16S ribosomal RNA
Rfam family: Bacterial small subunit ribosomal RNA
Source: RNAcentral